Molecule: long non-coding RNA, 1413 nt
Filed under: Homo sapiens (human)
Lineage: Eukaryota; Metazoa; Chordata; Mammalia; Primates; Hominidae
Description: HSALNT0402421
Source: RNAcentral
AUAGGAGCGGGGCCAACGGUCGCCCUGGCUGGGUCGCCCUGACUGUCCGACGCGCCCUGGCUCAGCCCCAGCAGAGGUUAGUGUGGGGGCAGAGGGGGAUUCCCAGCAGCAGGCCGGUCAGACUGGGGCUUCAGAGAAGGGCCCUGGUGGUAAGCCUGGUCCAAGAGGUGCCAGCCCAUCCCUUGGACACGACACGGAGCCAUGGGGCCGUCUGUCCUCUGUCUAUAAAAUGGGGAAUGAUGGCAGUCCCUGCCUUACCGAUCAAAUAAAAUCAGGGAUAAAGUCUUAACCAAGUGCAAAGAGAGUAAAAGUACAGGGUCACUGAUUUUUAAAAUGGAUCUUUCGGGGCAGGGAUGGGUCCACUCCUGAGCCCUUGGACCAAGCCUGGGAGAGCUGGACAAAUCCAGCGCUGGCCCAUGUCUUCUCAGCAGAUGCCUGUGAAGGUUGUCAUUGGCCCCUGGGUUCCUGGACAAAAGGUGUCCUGAGGACCCAUCACAGGCCAGGUUCUGGGCUCGGGGGCAGGGGUGACGGGGUGGGGCCCCCACUCUGUGUGCUCCUGCUGCCAUGCCAAGGAUGAAGCCAGCAGGGGAAGGCCUCAACCAUGCAGCCUUUCCCCAGGAGGCGGCAGGGCCUGCUCCUCAGGCGUUGCCCCCACCUCCACUAGGGCCCACCUCAGUCCAUCCUCCACGCAGCAGCCACCACCCAGGGGCCGAGGGAGACACGUCUAAGGCAGGGCCUUGCACUUAGAACAGACCCACAUUUACCCCCUCCCUCCCCCUAGCCCUCAGGUCUCCAACAGCCCAACCCACUGCACUGCAGGGCCUGCUCCCAGGGCCCUCUGAACAGAAAGACACGGGCACCCUGAAAAGCAAGGUCAUACUUUCAUCCAUCCUGACGUAGGGUAGGUGAAAAGAUGGUGGCAGAGAGAGGUUUAUUGCCCCAAACAGCCCUAGCCCAUAGCCAGGAAGUUUGGAAACUGUUGCUAAACGUAUCGCUGUCAACAGCACCCUCUUUGAGGUGAUUCGCUUCCAUUCACUCUGUGAUGGUGAUUUCCUACCGAGAUCUGUGAUCAUGCUGCAGCAGACAUUUGCCAUCUGGUUACCCAAAGUCCCCUUCCUCCUGGAGCUGAUGUUCUGGGGCAGGUAGACAAAAAUCAAAGUAGUGAAAGGGGUAGGGAAGGGGUGUUACUUCAAAUAGGUUGGGCUGAGGAGGCACCCCUGGACACCUGAGUGAAGGCUGGAUGAGCUGAAGAAACGGGCCAUGCAGGGAUGGCUGGGUGGGUGAAGGGGCCAUCUCACAGGGACAUUAUAAAGCUGGGUGCUGGUAGUGGCCAGAUGGAGGCUCUCCACGCUUCUGGUGGAUUCUGAGAGCUGCCCCGCACCCAAGCAUCUUUGAGGCCUAAGGUGAAAAAUU